AACGAACGCUGGCGGCAUGCCUAACACAUGCAAGUCGAACGAGACCUUCGGGUCUAGUGGCGCACGGGUGCGUAACGCGUGGGAACCUGCCCUUAGGUUCGGAAUAACUCCCCGAAAGGGGUGCUAAUACCGGAUAAUGUCUUCGGACCAAAGAUUUAUCGCCUUUGGAUGGGCCCGCGUUGGAUUAGCUAGUUGGUAGGGUAAAAGCCUACCAAGGCGACGAUCCAUAGCUGGUCUGAGAGGAUGAUCAGCCACACUGGGACUGAGACACGGCCCAGACUCCUACGGGAGGGAGCAGUGGGGAAUAUUGGAAAAUGGGCGGAAGGCUGAUCCAGCAAUGCCGCGUGAGUGAUGAAGGCCUUAGGGUUGUAAAGCUCUUUUACCCGGGAUGAUAAUGACAGUACCGAGAGAAUAAGCUCCGGCUAACUCCGUG
This 433-nucleotide ribosomal RNA is filed under the name uncultured bacterium. Its description in RNAcentral is "partial 16S ribosomal RNA". It matches the Rfam family "Bacterial small subunit ribosomal RNA", at positions 29 to 507 of the family's 1533-position model. The record is from RNAcentral.